Molecule: transfer RNA, 71 nt
Filed under: Heterocephalus glaber (naked mole-rat)
Lineage: Eukaryota; Metazoa; Chordata; Mammalia; Rodentia; Bathyergidae
Rfam family: tRNA
About the family: Transfer RNA (tRNA) molecules are approximately 80 nucleotides in length.
Source: Rfam by way of RNAcentral
CUGGGCGUAGCUCAGUGGUAGAGCAUAUGCUUAACAUGCUUGAGCACUAGGGUUGAAUCCUAGUGCAUACA